CAUGGCUCAGGAUGAACGCUAGCGACAGGCUUAACACAUGCAAGUCGAGGGGCAGCACGGGAGUAGCAAUACAACUGGUGGCGACCGGCGCACGGGUGAGUAACGCGUAUGCAACCUACCUAUCAGAGGGGAAUAACCCGGCGAAAGUCGGACUAAUACCGCAUAAAACAGGGGCACCGCAUGGUGAUAUUUGUUAAAGAAAUUCGCUGAUAGAUGGGCAUGCGUUCCAUUAGGUAGUUGGUGAGGUAACGGCUCACCAAGCCGACGAUGGAUAGGGGAACUGAGAGGUUGGUCCCCCACACUGGUACUGAGACACGGACCAGACUCCUACGGGAGGCAGCAGUGAGGAAUAUUGGUCAAUGGGCGGGAGCCUGAACCAGCCAAGUCCGCGUGAAGGAAGAAGGAUCUAUGGUUCGUAAACUUCUUUUGCAGGGGAAUAAAGUGCGGGACGUGUCCUGUUUUGUAUGUACCCUGAGAAUAAGGAUCGGCUAACUCCGUGCCAGCCGCCGC
This 510-nucleotide ribosomal RNA is filed under the name uncultured bacterium. Its description in RNAcentral is "bacterial SSU rRNA". It matches the Rfam family "Bacterial small subunit ribosomal RNA", at positions 18 to 518 of the family's 1533-position model. The record is from RNAcentral.